Molecule: long non-coding RNA, 352 nt
Filed under: Anas platyrhynchos (mallard)
Lineage: Eukaryota; Metazoa; Chordata; Aves; Anseriformes; Anatidae
Description: lncRNA (ENSAPLG00020006802.1)
Source: RNAcentral
UCAAAGACUUUGAGAAGUAAAACAGAAGUUUCCAUCUUCAUGGUUCAGAUUCUUCCUUUAGAGGAGUUCCUGCAGCUACAGGACUAGGAGGUUGUAGACUUCCCCUGAAGACAUACAGAGAAAAUGGUUCAAGUAAAUGCUCCUCCAUUAUUUCAGUGAAGCCCAAGCAUCUGCUCUGUGGGUAGGUGCAAAAUACAUGGAAAAUAAAUCAGUCGUGGAUCCCUUCUCUAAAUUACAGCCUCAUUCAGAGGUUAUGGGAACUUCGCAAGGAUAUCAGACAUACUCCUCUCAUAACAGGAAAGAAGACAAGCUGACUUUCUCUGCAGAAUUUUUUGAAGUGAAUUCUGAUUGA